This 75-nucleotide transfer RNA is filed under the name Marmota monax (woodchuck). Its description in RNAcentral is "tRNA.Ala". Lineage: Eukaryota; Metazoa; Chordata; Mammalia; Rodentia; Sciuridae. The record is from RNAcentral.
GUUGGGGAUAUAGCUCAGUUGAUAGAGUGCUUGCCUUGCAUGCACAAGGCCCUGGGUUCCAUCCCCAGCAAAACA